This 706-nucleotide long non-coding RNA is filed under the name Musa acuminata (dwarf banana). Its description in RNAcentral is "long non-coding RNA (MACU_LNC009078)". Lineage: Eukaryota; Viridiplantae; Streptophyta; Magnoliopsida; Zingiberales; Musaceae. The record is from RNAcentral.
GGGACGGCACGUCACGCGUCACUUCCUCCGCUUUCGCCUGUCUCCGUGCGAGCGUCUUCUCGGUAAAGAUUCGAUCUAGGGUUGGAAUGCACAAAUCAUUCAAGAGGAGUUGCGGUGUCGAGUCGACCGCAGCAGCACCGGCGUGGGCGGUGAUUCGUCGGGAGGUGACUCGUGGAGUUGUCGCCCGGCUCCGAGGGGUUGGCGUCACGCCUUCAACAACCUGGUUUGCUCGGAUCGGUGGCUGCUUCUUCCAGGUAGGUCGGAAAAUUAUGCGUCUCUUCUAGGAUUUCAGCCGGGAAUUUGUUAUUUGAUUCUGCGGAAUGGGUAAUCGACUGUUCUUAUGAUGAUAUACCAUUUGCUUCCCAAGUCUCGGUUAAUUCAUGCUUCAUGCCCGUCGGUAUGUUGUUCUUAUGAAUGCAUAGCAAAUCAAAGACUUUGUUGCGGAUCCACCCGUUGAUGGUGUUAGAUUAACUUAUUCAUCUCAGAUUUUGUGAGGAAUAAGCAGAGACUUCACGGUACUCGCUCGAUUAGUCUCCUUGUUCUUUGUUUCCAAGGCGAAUUGGGUGGGCGAAGGCUCGGGUUGGACAUGUUUGGGAGCCGCCCCCGGAUCCAGUUAUCCGACAACGUUUCUUGUCGGGUGUCACGAUCAAAGCCCCAAUUGAUCUUUCGUUUCUUAUUCUUUCUUGUUCUUUCGAUUCUUGNNNNN